GGAGUGUUAGGGUCGGCAACGCGCAUGUAACUCCUCUGGAGUUGCAGGCGUACAUAGGCUACGGAGACUGCUUAACAUCAGGCGGGCCGUAUGCUUGUUUGCCACCGACGUAGUAUAAAAAAAACGAGUUUGUUGUCCCUUGGACAACGGGACAGAAUAACAACACAAAAAAAGUUGAUUCGCCCGUUUAC
This is a long non-coding RNA of Cydia strobilella, 191 nucleotides long. RefSeq lists it as uncharacterized. The transcript has 2 exons. Lineage: Eukaryota; Metazoa; Arthropoda; Insecta; Lepidoptera; Tortricidae. The record is from RefSeq and is a predicted model, not a curated record.